This 460-nucleotide ribosomal RNA is filed under the name uncultured bacterium. RNAcentral describes it as "partial 16S ribosomal RNA". It matches the Rfam family "Bacterial small subunit ribosomal RNA", at positions 338 to 795 of the family's 1533-position model. The record is from RNAcentral.
CCUACGGGUGGCUGCAGUGGGGAAUAUUGGACAAUGGGCGCGAGCCUGAACCAGCCAAGUCGCGUGAGUGAUGAAGGCCCUCCGGGUGGAAAGCUUCUUUUAUAAAGGAGUAAAGUGAGGCACGUGUGCCUUUUUCUAUGUACUUUAUGAAUAAAGAUCGGCUAACUCCGUGCCAGCAGCCGCGGUAAUACGGAGGGUCCGAGCGUUAUCCGGAUUUAUUGGGUUUAAAGGGAGCGUAGAUGGGUUGUUAAGUCAGUUGUGAAAGGUUGCGGCUCAACCGUAAAAUUGCAAUGGAUACUGGCAGUCUUGAGUACAGUUGAGGGAGGCGGAAUUCGUGGUGUAGCGGUGAAAUGCGUAGAUAUCAGGAAGAACUCCGAUGGCGAAGGCAGCUUACUAAACUGUCACUGACAUUGAUGCUCGAAAGCGUGGGGAGCAAACAGGAUUAGAUACCCUAGUAGUC